GUGGACCGUUCAUAAAUCUAAUUGAAUAUACAACCAAAAACAACGAAGCAGAAAUAAAUUUCAUUCGCAAGUAGUCCUUUGCCACAUGUAUAAAAAGAAGUUGAGAUCUUGCAUGAUGGCAGAGGGGAUUCGAAUUUUAUCGUUAACUAAUUUAACAAAAUCAAUGGUUUGAUAAAAAUAAAAGGGAAAGAAAUUUCAUUGACUCAAUCCAAUAGUAACUAGACACGUGCCGUCCCCACAUGGAUCCACCCCCCAAAAAGCGCGUGCGCCAUCUCCUACUCCCGCUUCACAAAGGCUCCCGACGCAACACAAGAACCUUCCCGAUUCAGUCUCCUACUCCGUCUCUGAAAAAUCCCAAAUUUUUUUUUCAUGUUUUUCUAGUCGGAAUUGUCGAUGGAAUCCAUUUCCAAGGAGAUCUCCGCCGUUAAAAACCCUAAGCCCAAUUCGCAUUCCCAUUCCCAUUCCCACUCCCAUUCCCCGACGUUUCUCCUCCACAACGGCUUCAGCGACGAGGUCGAUGUCUCUGACAUCGAGAUGAUCACGAUCCAGACCGUCACCUACACCAGCCUCAGGGACCUCCUCCCGGCGUCGCCGCAGCCAUCGAUCAUGUCACCGAUUCACAAUUCCAGCUGGCACGACGAGAUUCCGAUCAAGAACCCGCUCGUCAAGCAUGCCGCGCUGGCGUACCUCCAGCCGAUGUCCUCGCCGCCAGAGGUCGGCGAUAAGGGAUUAUUCCGGAUGAUCCGGGAGAAGUGCAACUGUGAGUUCGGGUGCCUCGGUUGGUUCGGCGACGUCGUUUUGAAGACAGUUAGGGACGUGUUUGGUGGCGUUUGUGGUUGUACGAAUAGUUUUGGCGAGAUUGGGGAUGAGGAAGACGAGGAGGGGGAGGAGGAGGAGGAGGAGUGUUUGAAGGUUGACUGAGAGUGAAGGAGAGGGGUAUUUUUGGAAAGUUAGGGGUUGACUGGUAGAUGAUGGUAAAGAGAGAAUUGAGUGAGGCCUUCUUUUUGUAUAUACCAUUUAUUUAAUUUUUUUUCUUUGUUGGUAAUUGAGUUUUGGUGGGUGGCUUUGUAAAUAGGUAUACAUCGUGUUCGAUUUAUUAAUCACCGAACGCAUGAUUCGUGGGAGAGAAUUUGAUUUUUUUCUUCUUCAAGAAAAUGUUAUUGAGAUUUAUUUUCUUGGUGCUGUAUAUAUUUUUUGGUCAAAUGUAAUAUAUGGAUCUCUCAGUUAAGAUUUUGUGGAAUUCUUUGCUUCUAGAUCGAUUAGUGACCAAGUUUUCUGCUUUGUUUUUUAAACAUUUUGAUUAUGACUUUCUACUUAUUUUAUGGUGUAUAAAUAUAAUUGCCGUGAGUAAAGUUUCGUGUUGAGUACUUAGUAGCUUUAGCUAUGGAGUUUUUGGAGAUGGAUCUGCGAUAUCAAACGAAAAAGAACACUAAGUAUGAAUGUUUUCGACUUUGAAGACUAAAUUUGUAAUCUAAACCCUACAGUAUUUUGGUGAUAAUGUUAUUAACCGAAGUAAGAUGAUGAUUCCAUUGCAUAGUGACAGCACCGAUUUGUCUUUGUAUAUCUAAAUACAAACCCAAAAGAAGUGCAUAUUCACAUUUUUAGAGGUUUAAUAACAAAUCUCAUAAAUUACAAAUAUUAUUUUUUUUUAACUUUUUCUCGGGCAAAUAUUCAAACUUAUUAAAUUAAACAAAUAUUCAUCAAACUUAUUAAAUUAAGCAAGUAUUCAACCUUCCAUGACUAUUUUAAGAACAUAGAACCACAUUCAUUACUAACUAUACAUGAACGUUCACACAUAAUUAAAAGAUUUUAUUGCCACCCACAAAACUCACCAGUAUUUUUAUAACAUUUUUCUUACAAGAAAAAAUGCUUGGCAGUUCACAAAAUGCUUCAAAAAUGAUAGAGACUCAAAAGAACAACUAAUCAAAGUAAGAUGCGGACUUAAUCUUCCUUACUCCUCUAGAAGAAAAUAUAAUAAAAAUGACUCUGUUACAGUGCAACCUACUAAUGUUCGAAUGCCAAACAAACUUGAAAUUAUUUUGUGAUAGCGAAUUUUAAGUAUCAAAUAUGGAAAAUUUUCCAACAUGAAGUAUGCAUACUAAUUAUAUAUACCAAAGACUAUUCCAUGAGGAUAUUGGGACCAUGACGACUAUGACAUUUUUGGGAGCUUAGUGACUAGUCACUAGUAUAUAAUAACAUCCUGGCUGACUAGGAUUAUCGUCGGUGAUCACUUCUAACUUCUAAGUGCUAAUCGUCUCAUGAGGGAUGCACAUACGUCACCUAAGAAAAGACGUCUGGUUUUUUGUAAUGCCAGGUAGAUUAAUUUAUAUAACAUGUGAUAUGUUAAAAAAUAAGCAUGUUGUUUAACACCUAAAUAAUAAUUCAAUUAUCAAUAACCACAUUAUAUAAUUUAUAAAACAUAAUUUAAAUAGAUGGUCUCCCUAAUAUUAUUUUUUUUAUAAUCUAACAUUUUUUUAAGUGAGCCUAUUACCAGGUACCUUUUAAGGGAGACAGUUGUUCCAAUUAGGCAUGCUAGCCCACCACAUUUUAUAUAAGGGGGCUAAUAAGGACACUUCAAAAAAAAAAAAUCAUUGUACCUUUCUUCCAAUUGUAUUUUCAU
RNAcentral lists this long non-coding RNA (2620 nucleotides) under Malus domestica (apple). Its description in RNAcentral is "long non-coding RNA (MDOM_LNC009385)". Lineage: Eukaryota; Viridiplantae; Streptophyta; Magnoliopsida; Rosales; Rosaceae. The record is from RNAcentral.